AAGAUAGCGAAAUCUGUUGGAAUUAUCUACAGGUCUCGCCGUUUUUUAUCACCUACAACAAAGUUAUGCUUAUAUUAUACUCUUAUAUAUCCUUAUCUAACCUAUUGUAAUAUUGUAUGGUCCUCUACUUAUGUAACUAAUCUAAACAGAAUUUAUCUUCUACAAAAACGGGUUGUAAGAGCUCUGACGAACUCCGACUACCGUGCCCACUCCUCUUCGUUAUUCUAUCAGUUAAAAAUAUUAGAUAUAUUUAAAUUGAAUUCCUUUUACAUAGGUAAAUUUAUGUAUAAAUACCACUAUCACUUGUUACCUGAAUGUUUCAAUAACUUAUUUAUCACAAACAAUCAAGUACAUAGCUAUAACACUAGAUCGGCUACAUAUUACAGACCUCACGCGUGUCGGACAAACAUAAAGCAAUUCACUAUUCUUUCUGUUGGUCCGAAUACAUGGAAUUCUUUUCCACCAUAUAUUACGGCUAAAACCACCAUUUCCUCUUUCAAGAAUCAAUUAUGCAUUUUCCUACUUGAAAAUUAUAAUAUCGCAUAGACGUCGAAAUCGACAUGUUUUAGUUAACUUGUAUAUUAUGUAGUAAUGUAUGUGUGUUUUGAACUUGUACAAAGAUAUGAUCUUAUUCUGAGUUAUCACAGUUAACUAGGGGGCCUCGUGACGACUGUCACUAGGCCUCCUCUUCACUCAAUUUAUUUAUUACAAAAUUAUUUUAACAAAUGAGAUGGCCUCUUAAUAUAAGCAUUUUAGCUUCUUGAGGUCUUCUCGCUACUGCUCAACUUUGAUACUCAAACUACAAUUAAUGUAAAUAUCUAUAUUCUUGUUGUGUUGUGGCAAAUUAAUGAUGAUAAAUGAUGAUAAACAUAGUCGGCUAUAAAGACAAUGACAAUGUUUUUAAAUAUCAUUCUCUGCUAUAUUAAAAGACAAUGUCAAUCUUAAAUAAUGUAGUGGGCUACUGGGC
Molecule: non-coding RNA, 967 nt
Organism: Paramuricea clavata
Lineage: Eukaryota; Metazoa; Cnidaria; Anthozoa; Malacalcyonacea; Plexauridae
Source: the annotation of a GenBank genome assembly